AUGACAUACAAAAGUUGGAACUUUUCGAAGGGUUCGAAGAUAAAAAUCGUAGCUUUUGGCAUAGAACAAAAACCGCCGUCUCCGGAGCAGAGGAAAGACGGGGCCUUUCUUUCACUCCUCUUCCCCUCUCCCCUCUCCCUCUGCAGAGUCGUCCGAGUCCUGACCUACCCAGACCUCCAAUCCAAUCCAAUCCAAUCCAAUCCAAUCCGGCCGCCGCGGCGUGGCCUAGCCUCGCCGCCGGCCACCCCUCGCCCGCGUCGCCGGCCCCGUCCUAGCCCCCAUCGCCGUCUCCGCCCGCAGCCCCCUGGGCGGUUACUAUUUGAGGACCGGCGCCGGAGUCUGAGUCGAGCGCUUUCCGCAAAGGUUUCGGAGAGCCGGAUUGCCUGUCUGGGUGUUCUUCAAGGUUCAGCUCAGAACAGCAUGUCCAAGAUGCCAAAUCCAGAGAAGAAGUUGUUGAGGAUGCCAAGCGCAGAUGCCGAGAUGGCUGCACUGCACAAGGAAUGGGAUGAUGCCCGGUGUCCAAUUUGCAUGGACCAUCCUCACAAUGCCGUACUUCUGUUGUGCAGUUCUCAUGACAAAGGAUGCAGAUCCUACAUAUGUGAUACAAGCUAUAGACACUCAAAUUGCCUAGACAGAUUCAGGAAAAUGAAAGUGAACCGCAUGGACAGUUCGUCACAGCCAAGCUCUUCCUUGCCUGGAGAUACAAGUAACCAAAAUGUUUCAGAGAGAUCCCGUCUCGGUCCCAGUAGAGGGAGCCCCAGGCUGUUAAUAGAUGUACCUGAAUUCCGUGAAAAUCUCAGUCAUGAACAUGUCCGUAGCCCUGCAGCCGUAUCUGGACAGCAAGAAGGAACUAACUAUAAUCAAGGUCCAGUAACAUUGGAAGCUCUUAUGGGACAAGUGACUGGGCAAGUCGAGUCAGCUGAGGCAUCCAACUCGAACGAAUUGAUGUGCCCACUGUGUAGGGGUGCUGUGAAGGGCUGGGAGAUCAUCAAAGAUGCCAGACAGUACCUGGACGAGAAGCCAAGAAGCUGCUCGCGGGAAGCAUGCGCAUUUUCUGGUACCUAUGGUGCGCUCCGUAGACAUGCCAGGAGGGUGCACCCCACUACCAGGCCUGCUGAUGUGGACCCGUCAAGGCGCCGCGCGUGGCACCGCCUGGAGAACCAGCGGGAGUAUGGUGACAUAAUGAGCGCAAUCAGGUCGGCUAUGCCUGGGUCAGUUGUGCUUGGAGAUUACGUCAUUGAAGGUGGGCCAAGUGCGGACGAGCGUGAAGACGGCGGGCCAAGUGACCGAAGCGGGUCUCUGUUGACAACGUUCUUCCUAUUCCAUAUGAUGAACAGUGGCCCGCUGAGAUCAGGAGACGAGCCAAGAGCCUCAUCAAGGGCCCUGAGAAGGCAGAGGCGCCGCUAUCUGUGGGGAGAGAACUUGCUAGGCCUCCAAUACGACGACGACGACGAUGAUGAGGACGAGGAUAGCCUAGACGAGGAGGUUCAGAGGCCCAGGACUCGCCGGAGGUUCGUGAGGUCAAGGUCGGAGGAGCGGCGCUGA
This 1545-nucleotide ribosomal RNA is filed under the name Triticum aestivum (bread wheat). Its description in RNAcentral is "partial small subunit ribosomal RNA". The record is from RNAcentral. Lineage: Eukaryota; Viridiplantae; Streptophyta; Magnoliopsida; Poales; Poaceae.